CAAAUCACCGGAGGAAACUGAAAAAGGAAGUCCAUUCUAGAGUCAUCUGUUUUCCUUACUAAACUACUGGAGGAACUGACAGUCAAUUCAAUUUGCAACAUUUACCUAGCUUUCAUGCUUCUUUUCCUAUCCAAGCAGGAAUUUCUUAAAGCUGAGCAUCAGUCCUCCAUUCACCUCCCUAAAUCGCAUGCUACAGAUCU
This 200-nucleotide long non-coding RNA is filed under the name Nicotiana benthamiana. RNAcentral describes it as "long non-coding RNA (NBEN_LNC000603)". Lineage: Eukaryota; Viridiplantae; Streptophyta; Magnoliopsida; Solanales; Solanaceae. The record is from RNAcentral.